UUUUUUUUUUUUUUUUUUUUACAAGGAGCACAACUUCCUGAAAUUCCAGGCUGUGUCAAGUGCGACACUUCAGAUUUUUUCAGCAGCUUCAUCAUGUCACUACAGGGAUCUGCUCUGAGUUGAAGAUCAUGUUUGAGAUUGAGGCUUCAGAUGAGUAAAGCUGAGGAUUGUGACCCGGAGAGGGAGGGUAAGUAGGUGUCGGGUUAAGAGUUAUUAGGUGGGGGGGGAUUUGAAGGCAGCAGGGUGAGAAAUGGUGUCUAUUUGAGGGCACCCCAAGGUUUUUGACAAGCAUAGCAGAGGCAUUCAUGUGUCUUGUACCACCCCAGCUCACUUACUGCACUCAGAAAUGCCGUGUAACUUUGGCUCUCUCUAACCCAGGUGCUAGUCAUAACAGCUAUAGCCUCAGACUCAGGAUGAAGCUGGAGUCUUGAGGACCUAGGCAUACUUAGGAGAGGUCAAGUAGCUGACUUGCUGGGAUUUGGCCCGCAUAACACUACAGUCAUGCAUUGAUUUCGGUGUUCUUUAUUGUAGCUCACUGAGACAAUAACCAGCAAUCACGAGGCCUUCUGAGGCUGACUCAUUUCAGGUCCAACGUGGAUUCAUGUCGCCGGUCAUCCAAAAGAUAAGCUGGGGGCCACAGCCUGGAGAUGGGAUGAUCAUGUAGUAGAGGACUGUAAAUUCCUGGGACAGAUUUAAAAAUUAGCAGAGGGGAAAGGGAUAUCCUCUAAGGGGCUUUUAGGGCAGCUAAAGGAAGAGGCCCUACUUUUGAUUGCAGAUGUAGGGUGUGCAGUGCAGAGCAGUUCCAGUCUGUGUUGUGUUGUCCGGUAUACUGUGUUUCCUAGCGUGCCGUCGGGGUGCCUCAGAUCGGGUAUCUCUGCCUUUUCUCCUCGAGGGCCUUACCGCAAGCAUCAGCCACGAUCUCUAGGUUCUCGAACGCUCACGCUUCUCGGCAGUUCGUUCUUUUCCCCGCGGGCUCGGCCGUGUUUCCAUGUCGCAAUUCAGAAGCAUCGAGUCAGAUGACUUUUGAGGCCUUGCUUCCAGCAGUAUCACCAUCCAUCCUUUUCAGCCAUGAGUUGUAAUGUCCUGGCACUUAAAAGUUUGCAGGGAUACGGAGAGCAUUCUAAAUGUAGCAUUGUCUCAUGGUCAUUUCAAUCAUUGUGACCAACAGUUCUUCUAACAGGUCACUCUGUUACAGUCUUCUCUUUUUCUCCCUAGAGCCUCUGCCAUUCACUGUUGCCAUAGCAUCGGGCAUCUCUUUUGGCAUCAUCUCAGUCCUUGCCAUUAUUCUUCUUGCCAGGAAGAUUUUUAUUGUCCUUCUGUCACAAUCUUGUUAACAUAAUGUGUUGCGUGUCUUUACCAUCCCCUCUUUUGUCAUGUCCGGUCCUGUGUCACGGGUGUAAGCACAUAUUUGUCCUGGAGCUGUUGUGCCCUGUUGCAUAGCCUAGUGUGAUGGGGCAAGCCCCGGGGACUUGAAUUUUUGUAAUGCAGGGUGGAGUUGGACUCUAGAUGGUAUUCCUGGAUUGACAGAAGGUGUCUGGAUCUGUUAAGUUAUCCUGCAGCCAUUUGACUUUUGUCCUAACUUUCUUUCAGAUGCAGGCAGUUUAAAUCCAUGGCAGAAUGCCCCAUCCCUGGAGAAGGGGGUUCCCUGGUCAGGUCAGUCACCAUUUGUCUCUGCAGUGGAAGUGUAAAUGGUGACUCUGUGUUACAGCACUGUUUUCUGUCUUUACUUUUAGGAAUUAAAUCCAGAUGUUGGCAGUCAAGGCAAUCCACUCGGAGUAUGCCAAGCCCCCAUCACCAACCAGCUGGUGGACCAGGUUUCCUGUGCUUGUGAGCAGUCUGGAAAUAUUUCAGGACUCUGUGAUGGAGCUUUGAAAUCUAUUAUUUCAAGGUGGCAUCUGGGCAUACCCUGUGAUGAUGGCCUCAGCCUCUGAGCAAGGCCGGAGCGUGUGGCCCAAGCACCUGGGCAUUCUUAGGAGGAUGCUAAGCAAGGGACCACAGCCCGGUGACCACAGGAAAUUCCCAGCGGGCGAGGUGACCUUCCUUCAUACCUGACGUGGAUUCUCAUCCCCAGAUGUCCAAGAGAUAAGUCGAGGGCUAUGAACCAUAGAGAGGAUGAAAGCGAAGUGCUGGGAGGGCUUUUUGAAUCAGCUUUGGUGGCAGGUAUGUGCAAGAAGUGUCCCCUUAGGCCACCUAAAGGGAAAGAGUCUCUUUUGAUCACAGUGCUGAGGUGCUCAGGGCAGAGCAGUUCUGGUGUGUGUUGUGUCACUUGUCUAUUGUGCAUUCUGUGUGUUUGGGUAUAUCAUGUCAUAUGGCUUUUACCUUGCCCCUUUGAGGGCCUGUCAGAAACCCUCCUGUCAUUCGUGGUAUCUGAUAUCUGCGUUCCUUGGACGGGCACCAGUGCAAUAGGACUCUUGAUUCUGGAGGUCAGACAGGCAUUUGAAUUGCAUCUCUCUUUAGAAGCAUCCAGUCAGAUGUCUUUUAAGGUCUUGUUCUGAGCUGUGUUCACAGCUGCACACCACAAUGGUCCGUUAUAUCAGGUCAGGACUUGUAAGAAUGUGAAGCUAGCAAGAGCCUUUUUUACAUGAGAUUCUUGGGCACUGAUCUUCGUGGUUCUCCGAAUAAAUCAUUCUGUUAGCAUCUUGUUCCUGCAGGGUUCUCUGAGCCUCAUGGGCUCUGAGCCGUCAGUCUCACCUAGGUCAUCUCGUUCUGCAAUCUCUCAGUCCUUGCAGGCAUUCUUCUGGCUGAGAGCUCUCUCUCUCUGUUGUGUCCCCUUGUUUGUCAUGUCCUGUCCUGUGUCUGCACAUAUCUGUCCUGGAGCUCCUCUGCCCUGCUGCAUAGCCUGCAAUAGAACAAGUCCUUGCAGGGUAAUGCAGGGUAUAGUUGGGCUCUAGAUUAUAUUAGUAGGUUGACAUAACAUGUUUGGUUCUGUUAAGUUGUCCUGCAGCUGUUUGACAUUAGUCCUAACUUUCUUUCAGAUUCAGAUGGUCUCAAUUCAUAGCAGACUGCUCCAUCCCCGUUCAGCAGGUUUCCUUGAGAACGUCAGUCGCUGUUUGUUUUUGCACGUGAAGCAAACACAAGUGUUACAGCACUGUUCUUUGUCCUUAUUUUUAUGAAGUUAUAUGGGAUAGCAGCAGUCAUGCUGAAGUGGGCGCGGUGAGCAUUGAGCAGCAGACAAAAGCGGUUGUUUUUGCUCAGUUUGCAAUUUCUGGUGAAACUCUAAGCAUCCACUAUUGGUUUUUUUUUGAAUUUUAGGCAGUCCUCUUGCAAUAUGUCUCUGGUCCCAGAUGUCUGAGGCCAGGUGCUGUCCACUGCCCUGGCUGUGAGAAGGAACUGAGGUGAGCGGGUAUCUUCCGAGCAGCCUGUGGAGUCAAAUCAAGAUUUCAGAUGAGCUGGGGCAGUGGUGUGUCAGAGUUCCGGGGAUUCCUCUUUUGGAGGGUGCUAAUUGCAUUUUCUGCUUUGUCUUAGGUACCGUGAGGCAUCGCGUAGUUGAAGUUUGGAAACAGCAGCACCAAAGUGGAGGUAGAGAAUGUCUCGUCGUCCAUGUCCAACUGACAUUGGAUUCCAUCUGGUCAUCUUGCAAAAGCUAAGUGCUGGCGCCAAUAGGUGGGAGAAGGGGAAAAACUAUUACUAUCACAGGAGGCAAUUUGAUGUUAGCUUAGAGGAGAGGCCCGUAGUGGGACGGGUCCCUCGGAAGCAAAGGGAGAGGGUUUCUCCUCAGCCCCACUAGAAUCUUUGCCGGGCAGGGCAGUUCCAAUCCAUCUCCGCGUUCUCGUGAGGUUCACAUCGGCGGCCUGCUUAGACUCUUGACGUCGUCGUGGAUCUUUUCACCCGAGGAGCCCGCCUUCACGUCUGGAGCUGUAGGUCCCCGGGUCCCUACACAUUUUCCUGGAGUCUACCAUUUGACAUUGAGGAGCUGUAGUCAGAUGAUGUGUUGAAGGAUAUUCUUCAGCGUAGUGUUACAAGUAAGGGUGGCAGUCAGUGUGUAAGCAGAAGAGUGUGUGAGAGAGUGUGAUUGUCUGUGUCUGUGAGAGCUUGUGUGUGCUUGUCUGCAGGUCUGAGCGUAUGUUGACCGGUUCUAAUGUUGUGUGUAUGACUUUUGUCUUUCAGGUUUUUUAACUAAUUUUUAAAUUUAGAAUAAAAAAUCCCCAGCUGUCAUUUUGGUUUUUUUUUUUCUCCCCCAGAUGGGGUUUUUUUCCCUUGGUCCUGGCCAGUCUGCGAGGCGACGUUCAUCGCCAAAGUUUGGAUACGGACUGGCCCAGGACAGGGGUUUUUGUCAGGCAGGAGGAUUUUUUGGAGGCUCCCGAGAGCCAUGUUCCCGAGGAACAAUGAUUCCUGGGGUGUAACGGAGCAGUUGAGAUGAGAGCAAUGGUGAGUUUGUGUGUAAUGUGAAGGAGGUGCUUAUGGUGGGUGAGUGUUGUUUUGUGUGUGUAAUCUUUGUUCUGGGUUUCCUCUAACAAUAAAACAAAAUGUAAUGAAAAUAGAAAAAAGAUCACAUUGUGUUAAUGUGUUUGGUUUCUAUUGCCCUGUGUUGUUCUGUAUUUGCAUUUGCUGCUGCAUUUCUAUGUACUGUAUAUAUGCAUGUAUAUGGAUUGUAUCUGUGCUUGCAUUUGUAUCCAUUGUUUCCAUGUGUUUCGUUGAAAUGUAAAUAAAAAAAUUAAUUCAAUAAAUUUGAAUAAACCCUAGUAAUGAUGCCCCUGCUCCCUCACUUUCUGGCUUUGGCUCCUGUCUUUCUUUGGUGUGGUUUAGUAAUUUUUUUUCAUUGUAUUUCUUCCAUUGCUUCUCAUCUUACUUUUCUAUCUCUGACUUCAUUUCUGUCUGUCCCUAACUCUGUGUUUCUAUUUCUCACUGUUUCUAACUCUGUCUCUCUUCUUCUCUAUAUCCUUAUAUUUCUUUUUCCUUCUUCCCUCCCUCCCUCUUCCUUCUCUCCCUCCCUCCUUCUUCCUUUCCAUUUCCAGCUACUUAUUUUUCUCCCUAUAGUUGAUACUUUACUCUUUAUUUCUUUUUCUCUCUAACUCUUUGUUUUCCUCUUUUUUACUCUCACUCUUUCUUUUUCUUUUUCACUGUAACCCUUCUCAUUUUUCAUUCUCUUUCUUUUUUCACUGUUUGCCACUGUUUUCCUAGUUCUUUUUUUCCCAUCUCUCUUUUCCUCUCCAACUUCAACUUUUUUUAACCCUUUGCUUCUCUCUAUUUCUACCUUUGUUUCUAACUCGGCUUUCCUUUCUAGCUUUUAAGAAAGCAGCAGUAAAAACUUUCAGGCUCCCUGGGAGGGAAAAAAAAACAAACCAACCAAACCUUUAAAAAAUUAUUUAAAGAAAAUUACUUACUCCGCAGGAGCCUGAAAUUUUCUACUGCUGCACCAGACAUACAGUUUUUCUUCUUUUUCCUAAUAGAUAUAGGGCCCCUAAUUAGCGAUAUAGCUGGCAGGUAGCAAUAGCAAUAUGCAGCAACCAUGGCACCAGUACUCCCAUCAACCCCACCAGGCAAAUAAUGAUACAACCAAGAGUUAACCACAUUGAAACAUAAAUUUUAAGGGAUAUAGAGAUGUUAGAGGAGCUAAGAUUUUAGUUAGAGACAAGCCUUACUAGAGCUAAUUAAAAUAAAUGAGUAGGCCUUGAUAAAGUUAGGAGUUAGUAGUUAACUGAUUGCUUGUCAGCACAAUGUUUAGUUAGCUGGGUUUAUAAUGAAGAAUAUAGAAACUGACAAAUAGCUUUUAGGAACGUAAGACAAUUGUGGGCCUCCUCUGUUCUGAAAUCAAAUGAAGACAAGGAAUGGGAGUUCUAACAAGAGUUCAUUUGUCAUAUUUGCAUUGAAAUGGUAGAAAGGCCAGAACGAGGAAGACUUCAUUUACUUCCACAUUUUGGGAGUCAUCCCCACAAAAGGGACCACUGACCCAUUUCAGGAAAAAAACUUCAUGCUUAAUAGCUUUUGAAAUGAUUAAUAUAUGAAGCAAGGAAUGUGAUGUACCAAAAUGAAUAUGUAUUUGUAUUUUCGGUAUUCAGUACUUGUAUGGACAAAAGGGCUCUUUAAUCACUUGGAAAGUGCGGUGUGUACUUGGGAACUAUCCCACAUGCUGCUGGGUGUCGAAUAAACAUACACUUUCUAACUUCAAA
RNAcentral lists this long non-coding RNA (6110 nucleotides) under Taeniopygia guttata (zebra finch). RNAcentral describes it as "lncRNA (ENSTGUG00000022598.1)". Lineage: Eukaryota; Metazoa; Chordata; Aves; Passeriformes; Estrildidae. The record is from RNAcentral.